This 718-nucleotide ribosomal RNA is filed under the name uncultured archaeon. RNAcentral's name for it is "bacterial SSU rRNA". It matches the Rfam family "Archaeal small subunit ribosomal RNA", at positions 141 to 859 of the family's 1478-position model. The record is from RNAcentral.
UGGGGCUAAUACCGGAUAGGCAAUUAUUCCUGCAAUGGUUUUUUGUUUAAAUGUUUUUUCGCCUAAGGAUGGGUCUGCGGCCGAUUAGGUAGUUGGUUAGGUAAUGGCUUACCAAGCCGUUGAUCGGUACGGGUUGUGAGAGCAAGAGCCCGGAGAUGGAACCUGAGACAAGGUUCCAGGCCCUACGGGGUGCAGCAGGCGCGAAACCUCCGCAAUGUGAGAAAUCGCGACGGGGGGAUCCCAAGUGCCAUUCUUAACGGGAUGGCUUUUCAUUAGUGUAAAAAGCUUUUGGAAUAAGAGCUGGGCAAGACCGGUGCCAGCCGCCGCGGUAACACCGGCAGCUCUAGUGGUAGCAAUUUUUAUUGGGCCUAAAGCGUCCGUAGCCGGUUUAAUAAGUCUCUGGUGAAAUCCUGUAGCUUAACUGUGGGAAUUGCUGGAGAUACUAUUAGACUUGAGACCGGGAGAGGUUAGAGGUACUCCCAGGGUAGAGGUGAAAUUCUGUAAUCCUGGGAGGACCGCCUGUUGCGAAGGCGUCUAACUGGAACGGUUCUGACGGUGAGGGACGAAAGUUAGGGGCGCGAACCGGAUUAGAUACCCGGGUAGUCCUAACUGUAAACGAUGCGGACUUGGUGUUGGGGUGGCUUUGAGCUGCUCCAGUGCCGAAGGGAAGCUGUUAAGUCCGCCGCCUGGGAAGUACGGUCGCAAGACUGAAACUUAA